CGCCUUUUGGUUGAAUAGAAGGUCUAGCCUGCCCACUGAGAAGUUAAAGGGCCGCGGUAUAUUGACCGUGCAAAGGUAGCAUAAUCAUUAGUCUUCUAAUUAAAGGCUGGAAUGAAUGGUUGGACGAGGUAUUAGCUGUUUCAUUAAGAAUAGUACGGAAUUUAACUUUUUAGUCAAAAGGCUAAAAUAAUAUUGGAGGACGAGAAGACCCUAUAGAGCUUUAUAUCUAAAGUGUUUAGUCUUUUUAGAAGGACUUUGACUUAAUUGUAGAGAUAUUUCGUUGGGGUGACGGGGAGAUAAAAUAAACUCUCUUUAUUAAAUGACAUAAAUGUAUGAUUAUUUGAUCCAAUAAUAUUGAUUAUAAGACUAAGUUACCUUAGGGAUAACAGCGUAAUCUUUUUCGAGAGUUCUUAUCGACAAAAAGGGUUGCGACCUCGAUGUUGGAUUAAGGGUAAUUUUUGGGUGUAGAAGUUCAAAGUUUAGGUCUGUUCGACCUUUGAAUCCUUACAUGAU
RNAcentral lists this ribosomal RNA (513 nucleotides) under Chiloporter sp. BYU IGCEP051. RNAcentral describes it as "partial 16S ribosomal RNA". It matches the Rfam family "Bacterial large subunit ribosomal RNA", at positions 1829 to 2604 of the family's 2925-position model. The record is from RNAcentral. Lineage: Eukaryota; Metazoa; Arthropoda; Insecta; Ephemeroptera; Ameletopsidae.